This 385-nucleotide long non-coding RNA is filed under the name Equus caballus (horse). Its description in RNAcentral is "lncRNA (ENSECAG00000053626.1)". Lineage: Eukaryota; Metazoa; Chordata; Mammalia; Perissodactyla; Equidae. The record is from RNAcentral.
CUGGGCUAGAAAAGGCCACGGACCUUCCACCAGUUUCUCUAGGUAGAGCUCCGGCUGUCCCUGUCUCUCAGCCACAGUACCAGACACGUGAGAAUGAAAGUUUUUGGCAUAACUACUGCUUCAACUAGCCUCUAACUACAACCUUUAGCAGAUGUUGGAAGUGCAUGAGGAACAAAGGAUGGAGAAGCAGCUUGGAGGGAGCGAAGAACCAAAGAAUCUGCUCUGUGUUGUCAAAGCACCGUGUUCCAAACACUAAGGCAGCAGUUACUCAGCGCAUUUCAGCUGGUCGUCUUGACUGCUGAAUUGAUGUGAAGAGCAUCUCCAGGGAAAGCAAUGUGUCCAUUUUGCUCACAGUCCCAAGAACAGUGCUUGGUCCAGAACAGAA